AGAGACAGCAGCCGCCGCGGUAAUACGUAGGGUGCAAGCGUUAAUCGGAAUUACUGGGCGUAAAGCGUGCGUAGGCGGUGAGUUAAGUCUGCUGUGAAAUCCCCGGGCUCAACCUGGGAAUGGCAGUGGAUACUGGCUCGCUAGAGUGUGUCAGAGGAUGGUGGAAUUCCCGGUGUAGCGGUGAAAUGCGUAGAGAUCGGGAGGAACAUCAGUGGCGAAGGCGGCCAUCUGGGACAACACUGACGCUGAGGCACGAAAGCGUGGGGAGCAAACAGGAUUAGAUACCCGUGUGUCCCUGUCUCUUAUACA
Molecule: ribosomal RNA, 309 nt
Filed under: uncultured bacterium
Lineage: Bacteria
Description: partial 16S ribosomal RNA
Rfam family: Bacterial small subunit ribosomal RNA
Source: RNAcentral